RNAcentral lists this ribosomal RNA (878 nucleotides) under Usnea crocata. RNAcentral's name for it is "partial 28S ribosomal RNA". It matches the Rfam family "Eukaryotic large subunit ribosomal RNA", at positions 35 to 930 of the family's 3401-position model. The record is from RNAcentral. Lineage: Eukaryota; Fungi; Ascomycota; Lecanoromycetes; Lecanorales; Parmeliaceae.
UAAGCAUAUCAAUAAGNGNAGGAAAAGAAACCAACAGGGAUNGCCUCAGUAACGGNGANUGAAGCGGCAACAGCUCAAAUUUGAAAUCUGGCCCCGUCGGGGUCCGAGUUGUAAUUUGUAGAGAGUGUUUNGGNUGAGACCACAGUCUAAGUCCAUUGGAACAUGGCGUCAUAGAGGGUGAGAAUCCCGUAUGUGACCGUGGCUCAUACCUAUGUGAAGCCUCUUCGACGNNNCGAGNUGUUUGGGAAUGCANCUCAAAAUGGGUGGUAAAUUUCAUCUAAAGCUAAAUACUNGCUGGAGACCGAUAGCGCACAAGUAGAGUGAUCGAAAGAUGAANAGCACUUUGGAAAGAGAGUCAAAAAGUACGUGAAAUUGUUGAAAGGGAAGCGCUUGCAACCAGACCUGUCCGUAGGUGAUCAGCCGCUGUUCUNAGCGGUGCACUCGNUNUGCGAUCANGCCAGCAUCGGUUUCGGNGGUNNGAUAAAGGCCUGGGGAAUGUAGCUUCCUUCGGGAAGUCUUAUAGCCCUCGGUGCAAUGCGGCCAGCCGGGACCGAGGACCGCGCUUCGGCUAGGAUGCUGGCNUAAUGGUUGUAAGCGACCCGUCUUGAAACACGGACCAAGGAGUCUAACAUCUAUGCGAGUGUUUGGGUGUYAAACCCAUGCGCGGAAUGAAAGUGAACGGAGGUGAGAACCCUUUAGGGCGCAUCAUCGACCGAUCCAGAUGUCUUCGGAUGGAUUUGAGUAUGAGCAUAGCUGUUGGGACCCGAAAGAUGGUGAACUAUGCCUGAAUAGGGUGAAGCCAGAGGAAACUCUGGUGGAGGCUCGYAGCGGUUCUGACGUGCAAAUCGAUCGUCAAAUUUGGGUAUAGGGGCGAAAGA